Molecule: long non-coding RNA, 855 nt
Organism: Numida meleagris (helmeted guineafowl)
Lineage: Eukaryota; Metazoa; Chordata; Aves; Galliformes; Numididae
Source: Ensembl
UGGAAGUAUUCACUAGAUAUUCACCAGCGUCCUUUGGCUCCUUUUGUCCAAGUCCAGACCACGUGCAGCAUUCCACCGGGACAGACGUGCGCUCACCUGAAGAUGUGCCUCUCACCUCCUUCUAUCCAAGAAAGAUGGCCCAGAAGAAGAGUUUACAGUAUGAAGAUAAAUGCUAUCAACAACACUGGAUCCUAGCUGUGCAUCCCUCUGAGACAAGAGCUCACCAUCUUUCCUGCUGCUGCCUGGGCCAUGUCAGUCUGCCUACCCCAUCCUCCCUGUGUCCCCAGCAGCUCCUGGGGAGCAUGUGCUGCACAAGGAACAAGAGGCCCUAAUGCAGCGGCCAACCCAAGGCCCUGUCACACAUCCAUGCUCAGUGCAGUUGUGUCGGUGCUGGCACCUGGCCCUGAGGGCAGGGAGCCCUGUGCCAGCCAUGAGCUCUGCGCCAGGAUGUUCUCCUCCAGGCACUCUGCUGGCGUCGCUGUGCUCAGGGCUGCCAAAGCUGCCUGCACGAACAAACACAGAGCUCUGGAACUGCCACCUGGCUGUCUCUCGAGCUCUCUUCUUUUAUUUAUCUCGGUAGCAGCAGCAGCCAAGGUUUGGAGCAGGCUGUGGCAUCAGGAGCUGGAGAAUCGCAGGAACAUCACUGGGCUCAGGCAGACGUCAUCUGGGUUUACAACAGAGGUCUGCAGAACAGCAAACAGAAGACACUACUGAGCAGCCUUCCCUCCAUUUGUGCUUCAUCGAAAUAUUUGGUCUGAUUCGGUUAGUCUCAUGGGAAAGGCAAUUUUACAUUAGAUUUUCAUGAUUUUUUUUCUUUGUAUCACUGUGCUGAAUAAACAGGAGCUUCACAACUCA